This is a non-coding RNA of Acanthosepion pharaonis, 115 nucleotides long. Lineage: Eukaryota; Metazoa; Mollusca; Cephalopoda; Sepiida; Sepiidae. The record is from the annotation of a GenBank genome assembly.
UUAUGGCCAUAUCACAUUGAAACACCGGUUCUUGUAUGAUCACUGAAAGUUAAACAACAUUGAGCCUAGUCAGUACUUAGGUGGGUGACUAUUUGGGAAUAUCAGGUGCUGUAAG